RNAcentral lists this ribosomal RNA (1372 nucleotides) under uncultured bacterium. RNAcentral's name for it is "bacterial SSU rRNA". It matches the Rfam family "Bacterial small subunit ribosomal RNA", at positions 28 to 1381 of the family's 1533-position model. The record is from RNAcentral.
GAUGAACGCUGGCGGCGUGCCUAAUACAUGCAAGUCGAGCGAACGGACGAGAAGCUUGCUUCUCUGAUGUUAGCGGCGGACGGGUGAGUAACACGUGGAUAACCUACCUAUAAGACUGGGAUAACUUCGGGAAACCGUAGCUAAUACCGGAUAAUAUUUUGAACCGCAUGGUUCAAAAGUGAAAGACGGUCUUGCUGCCACUUAUAGAUGGAUCCGCGCUGCAUUAGCUAGUUGGUAAGGUAACGGCUUACCAAGGCAACGAUGCAUAGCCGACCUGAGAGGGUGAUCGGCCACACUGGAACUGAGACACGGUCCAGACUCCUACGGGAGGCAGCAGUAGGGAAUCUUCCGCAAUGGGCGAAAGCCUGACGGAGCAACGCCGCGUGAGUGAUGAAGGUCUUCGGAUCGUAAAACUCUGUUAUUAGGGAAGAACAUAUGUGUAAGUAACUGUGCACAUCUUGACGGUACCUAAUCAGAAAGCCACGGCUAACUACGUGCCAGCAGCCGCGGUAAUACGUAGGUGGCAAGCGUUAUCCGGAAUUAUUGGGCGUAAAGCGCGCGUAGGCGGUUUUUUAAGUCUGAUGUGAAAGCCCACGGCUCAACCGUGGAGGGUCAUUGGAAACUGGAAAACUUGAGUGCAGAAGAGGAAAGUGGAAUUCCAUGUGUAGCGGUGAAAUGCGCAGAGAUAUGGAGGAACACCAGUGGCGAAGGCGACUUUCUGGUCUGUAACUGACGCUGAUGUGCGAAAGCGUGGGGAUCAAACAGGAUUAGAUACCCUGGUAGUCCACGCCGUAAACGAUGAGUGCUAAGUGUUAGGGGGUUUCCGCCCCUUAGUGCUGCAGCUAACGCAUUAAGCACUCCGCCUGGGGAGUACGACCGCAAGGUUGAAACUCAAAGGAAUUGACGGGGACCCGCACAAGCGGUGGAGCAUGUGGUUUAAUUCGAAGCAACGCGAAGAACCUUACCAAAUCUUGACAUCCUUUGACAACUCUAGAGAUAGAGCCUUCCCCUUCGGGGGACAAAGUGACAGGUGGUGCAUGGUUGUCGUCAGCUCGUGUCGUGAGAUGUUGGGUUAAGUCCCGCAACGAGCGCAACCCUUAAGCUUAGUUGCCAUCAUUAAGUUGGGCACUCUAAGUUGACUGCCGGUGACAAACCGGAGGAAGGUGGGGAUGACGUCAAAUCAUCAUGCCCCUUAUGAUUUGGGCUACACACGUGCUACAAUGGACAAUACAAAGGGCAGCGAAACCGCGAGGUCAAGCAAAUCCCAUAAAGUUGUUCUCAGUUCGGAUUGUAGUCUGCAACUCGACUACAUGAAGCUGGAAUCGCUAGUAAUCGUAGAUCAGCAUGCUACGGUGAAUACGUUCCCGGGUCU